Molecule: ribosomal RNA, 492 nt
Filed under: uncultured bacterium
Lineage: Bacteria
Description: partial 16S ribosomal RNA
Rfam family: Bacterial small subunit ribosomal RNA
Source: RNAcentral
AGUGAACGCUGGCGGUAGGCCUAACACAUGCAAGUCGAACGGCAGCACAGUAAGAGCUUGCUCUUACGGGUGGCGAGUGGCGGACGGGUGAGGUAUACAUCGGAAUCUACUUUUUCGUGGGGGAUAACGUAGGGAAACUUACGCUAAUACCGCAUACGACCUACGGGUGAAAGCAGGGGAUCUUCGGACCUUGCGCGAUUGAAUGAGCCGAUGUCGGAUUAGCUAGUUGGCGGGGUAAAGGCCCACCAAGGCGACGAUCCGUAGCUGGUCUGAGAGGAUGAUCAGCCACACUGGAACUGAGCCACGGUCCAGACUCCUACGGGAGGCAGCAGUGGGGAAUAUUAGACAAUGGGCGCAAGCCUGAUCCAGCCAUACCGCGUGGGUGAAGAAGGCCUUCGGGUUGUAAAGCCCUUUUGUUGGGAAAGAAAAGCAGCAGGUUAAUACCCCGCUGUUCUGACGGUACCCAAAGAAUAAGCACCGGCUAACUUCGUG